UGGGGAAUAUUGGACAAUGGACCGAGAGUCUGAUCCAGCAAUUCUGUGUGCACGAUGAAGUUUUUCGGAAUGUAAAGUGCUUUCAGUUGGGAAGAAAGAAAUGACGGUACCAACAGAAGAAGUGACGGCUAAAUACGUGCCAGCAGCCGCGGUAAUACGUAUGUCACGAGCGUUAUCCGGAUUUAUUGGGCGUAAAGCGCGUCUAGGUGGUUAUAUAAGUCUGAUGUGAAAAUGCAGGGCUCAACUCUGUAUUGCGUUGGAAACUGUAUAACUAGAGUACUGGAGAGGUAAGCGGAACUACAAGUGUAGAGGUGAAAUUCGUAGAUAUUUGUAGGAAUGCCGAUGGGGAAGCCAGCUUACUGGACAGAUACUGACGCUGAAGCGCGAAAGCGUGGGUAGCAAACAGGAUUAGAUACCCUGGUAGUCCACGCUGCAAACGAUGAUUACUAGGUGUUGGGGGUCGAACCUCAGCGCCCAAGCAAACGCGAUAAGUAAUCCGCCUGGGGAGUACGUACGCAAGUAUG
Molecule: ribosomal RNA, 524 nt
Filed under: uncultured bacterium
Lineage: Bacteria
Description: bacterial SSU rRNA
Rfam family: Bacterial small subunit ribosomal RNA
Source: RNAcentral